This 478-nucleotide ribosomal RNA is filed under the name Persephona punctata. RNAcentral's name for it is "partial 16S ribosomal RNA". It matches the Rfam family "Archaeal large subunit ribosomal RNA", at positions 1944 to 2655 of the family's 2987-position model. The record is from RNAcentral. Lineage: Eukaryota; Metazoa; Arthropoda; Malacostraca; Decapoda; Leucosiidae.
GUCUGGCCUGCUCACUGAUAACUUCAAGAGCUGCGGUAUUUUGACCGUACAAAGGUAGCGUAAUAAUUAGUUUUUUAAUUGAAAACUUGUAUGAAUGGUUGGACAAAACAAAAACUGUCUCUGCUAUAAAAAUUGAAUUUAACUUUUAAGUGAAAAGGCUUAAAUAAUUCAAUGGGACGAUAAGACCCUAUAAGCUUUAUAUUUAAUAAUUAAUUAUUUUAAAAAUUAAAUUAAAUAAUUUUAUUAAUUAAAAUGUUUGGCUGGGGCGGCACGUUUAAAAAUUUUAUUAACUCUUUUAAAUUAAACCAUUUAUAUAUGAAAAUAAUAGAUCCUUUUUUAAAGAUUUAAAGAUAAGUUACUUUAGGGAUAACAGCGUUAUUUUUUUUGAGAGCCCAUAUCGAAAAAAAAGAUUGCGACCUCGAUGUUGAAUUAAAAUUUCUAUAUAGUGCAGCAGCUUUAUAAGAAGGUCUGUUCGACC